UGGCAGCCACAAUGUUUUCACUACAAAC
This 28-nucleotide non-coding RNA is filed under the name Rattus norvegicus (Norway rat). Lineage: Eukaryota; Metazoa; Chordata; Mammalia; Rodentia; Muridae. The record is from RNAcentral.